Long non-coding RNA from Polyodon spathula (Mississippi paddlefish), 697 nucleotides. RefSeq lists it as uncharacterized. The record is from RefSeq and is a predicted model, not a curated record. Lineage: Eukaryota; Metazoa; Chordata; Actinopteri; Acipenseriformes; Polyodontidae. The transcript is spliced from 3 exons.
GUUUUGCGAGGAGGAGCAGAGCGUGAAUGUUCAUCUCCGACAGAUUCAAAGCGCUCCUUUCGAUAAAGCUUCGAAUAUCAAUUUUUCCCUCAAUGCUGACAACGAAAGUGUAAGUCUGUAAUUCACGUCUGUCUGUCUGUGUUUGUGUGUCUCUCUCCUGUCUUUCUCAGGUUAAUUGAAAGCUGUUUGUUUAUUAAAUUCCAGCUCAAUUCGAACCUCUUUCAAGGAGGGAAAUAAAUAUCCCACUGCUACCAGCAAUAGCAUCGCUGUUGUCCUCUGUAAAUUAGUUAAUCUCCUUCAACCAGGCUGUCUAUCAAAAUAUCCCACUGCUACCACCAAUAGAAUCGCUUCUCUCCUCUAUAAAUCAGCUAAAAACAUCCUUCAACCAGACUGUAUCUAAGUAUCCCACUGCUAAAACCAAUACACUGCAGCUAUUGGCUCUAAAAGUUUAAAGGAGUCUUGCUAUCAGCCUUUAUCUAUCUCUGUCUUUCUGUCUAUCCAUCUAUCUAUCUGUCUAGCUAUAUAAUUUUAUCUGUAUGUGUAUAUAUAGAUAUAUAGGUAACGUAUACAUCUCUAUCUGUUUACAUAUCCCACUCUCACACCAACAUGUUGUAGCUCUCUUUAUAAGAAUUUAAUCUCUCUCCUCCCCUCCCUCUCUCCUCUCUAUCCCCUCCCUCCUGUCCCCUCCCUCUCUCUC